CGCGAAAAGGUGGAAGAGCUGAGAAGGUUGUUGAAACAGCGGCUAACUGCUGCUAAUGCCGAGAUAUUUGAGUUGGUAGAAACAAAAAACAUCACAGAGCAGCAAGAAGAAACGAAUGGAUUUGAAGAAGAGAAUAAACUAGUCAACGUGCUGGAUGCCGUUUUCAAGCCUGAAGUUCGCUGAUCCAGAGCAGACAUGCAGCUGUUUUUGGUGAUUAAAAAAGAAACUCCCCCUAAACACCAGGAAAGGAAUCUGAGUGUUGACCAGGAGAACAU
Long non-coding RNA from Thalassophryne amazonica, 275 nucleotides. RefSeq lists it as uncharacterized. NCBI's taxonomy places the organism in Eukaryota, Metazoa, Chordata, Actinopteri, Batrachoidiformes, Batrachoididae. The record is from RefSeq and is a predicted model, not a curated record. The transcript has 2 exons.